GCCAGGCGUGGUGGCGUGUGCCUGUAAUCCCAGCUACUCAGGAGGCUGAGGCAGGAGAAUCACUUGAACCUGGGAGGCAGAGGUUGCAGUGAGCCAAGAUUGUGCCACUGCACUCCAGCCUGGGUGACAGAGUGAGACUCUGUCUCAA
This 148-nucleotide non-coding RNA is filed under the name Gorilla gorilla gorilla (western lowland gorilla). Lineage: Eukaryota; Metazoa; Chordata; Mammalia; Primates; Hominidae. The record is from Rfam by way of RNAcentral.